GACGAACGCUGGCGGCGUGCUUAAUACAUGCAAGUCGAACGGAAAGGCCCUGCUCUUGUGGGGCGCUCGAGUGGCGAACGGGUGAGUAACACGUGAGUAACCUGCACUUGACUUUGGGAUAACUUCAGGAAACUGGGGAUAUUACCGGAUAGGAGCUCUUGCUGCACGGUGGGGGUUGGAAAGAUUCGGCGGUUGGGGAUGGACUCGCGGCUUAUCAGCUUGUUGGUGAGGUAGUGGCUUACAAAGGCUUUGAAGGAUAGCCGGCCUGAGAGGGUGGACGGCGACAAUAGUACUAAGAGACGGACCAGACUCCUACGGUAGGCAGCAGUGGAGAGUAUUACGCAGUGGGCGGAAGCCUGAGACAGCAACGCCGCGUGCGUAAUGACGGCCUUCUGGUUAAAAACCGCUUUCGCCUUUGACGAAGCGGUAUUGACGGUAAUGAGUAAGAAAGCACCGGCUAACUACGUG
RNAcentral lists this ribosomal RNA (468 nucleotides) under uncultured bacterium. RNAcentral's name for it is "partial 16S ribosomal RNA". It matches the Rfam family "Bacterial small subunit ribosomal RNA", at positions 28 to 507 of the family's 1533-position model. The record is from RNAcentral.